RNAcentral lists this long non-coding RNA (435 nucleotides) under Bos taurus (domestic cattle). RNAcentral's name for it is "long non-coding RNA NONBTAT018562". Lineage: Eukaryota; Metazoa; Chordata; Mammalia; Artiodactyla; Bovidae. The record is from RNAcentral.
UUUUCCUUGAAAGAAUAAUGUACAUUUGUUUACAAAAUUAUGUGGGUCAAUUGAAGUGUUUUAAUACUUUGGCAUUAAACUUAUAGAUUCUCAAAUAAGAUAUGCAAGUAUAUUGUCUAUUUUAGUAUUCCUGAUAUGAUAACUUCACAUAUUAGUAAAAGUCAGGCCUAUAUUAAAUAUCUGCAUGUUGGAACUCUUAAAAUUCAUUUAGAUAAAGAUUUUUUCUGUUCAGAUCUGGAUUUAUAUGUUUGUUACGUUUUAUCCUAUUCUUGAAUCUUUUCCUACCCUGUAGUUUACUUUCCAUUACGGUCAAAGAGGGAAUUCAUUGAAACCAGUAAUUUUUAUGGUCCUUUUUUCUCACCUACUGUGUACCUUUUCACUGGAGUAGUUUCAAGGAAGGUACUGAAUUAAGGAUUCCUUUUCAUACUAUUGUGC